AACGAACGCUGGCGGCAGGCCUAACACAUGCAAGUCGAACGCCCUAGCAAUAGGGAGUGGCAGACGGGUGAGUAACACGUGGGAACCUUCCCUAUAGUACGGAAUAUACCAGGGAAACUUGGAGCAAUACCGUAUACGCCCGAGAGGGGAAAGAUUUAUCGCUAUAGGAUGGGCCCGCGUAGGAUUAGCUAGUUGGUGAGGUAAUGGCUCACCAAGGCGACGAUCCUUAGCUGGUGUAGAGAACGACCAGCCACACUGGGACUGAGACACGGCCCAGACUCCUACGGGAGGCAGCAGUGGGGAAUAUUGGACAAUGGGCGCAAGCCUGAUCCAGCCAUGCCGCGUGAGUGAUGAAGGCCGUUGGGUUGUAAAGCUCUUUUGUCCGGGGACGAUAAUGACGGUACCCGGAGAAUAAGUCCCGGCCUAACUUCGUGCCAGCAGCCGCAGUAAG
RNAcentral lists this ribosomal RNA (451 nucleotides) under uncultured bacterium. RNAcentral describes it as "bacterial SSU rRNA". It matches the Rfam family "Bacterial small subunit ribosomal RNA", at positions 29 to 524 of the family's 1533-position model. The record is from RNAcentral.